RNAcentral lists this transfer RNA (20 nucleotides) under Anolis sagrei (brown anole). Its description in RNAcentral is "partial tRNA-Asx". Lineage: Eukaryota; Metazoa; Chordata; Lepidosauria; Squamata; Anolidae. The record is from RNAcentral.
AUGAAUGAGCGGGCCUUGAU